Long non-coding RNA from Oncorhynchus nerka (sockeye salmon), 1366 nucleotides. RefSeq lists it as uncharacterized. The record is from RefSeq and is a predicted model, not a curated record. The transcript is spliced from 5 exons. Lineage: Eukaryota; Metazoa; Chordata; Actinopteri; Salmoniformes; Salmonidae.
CUGGGUCAUAGGUUCAGCAUAAAGAAAGAACACAUUACACACAUAAAGAAGAGAGAGAAAGAUGGAGAGAAGCGACUCUGUGGUUAACAUUUCAGUGCGUCAUCAGAGGAAGUCCACAGCGAGUGUGUGUCAGUUGUGAUUCUCAUGCCCUGGGUGUGAGUGUAGAGGGGGAGGCCACAGCACCUGAAGGCUGAGUGACUGGCCUCAUUCUGAUAUCCUUCCAGAAAGAUGAAGCAUCUGUGGGUCUGGCUGCUCCUCUCCUUCCUCUGUUCCCUCUCUUCUUGGGGGAUAAGAGGCAUGUUGGUGGUGAUCCAGUCUCCUCAUAAUGUAACAGUAACAGAGGGGGACACUGUUCAGAUCCAGUGCUGCUGGAAUCAAAAUGUGUCAAGAGGGACAGUUAAUUGGCUUAAAAAGAAGGACACACCGAGAUAAAAUAUAAAGUGUCCUGGUCACCUACAGUCAGUGUUAUGACAGGGCAUCUCAGCAGACUGUAGCCUGUAACUGCUCAAAUUGGACCAUCUCAAACCUCACUAGAAAUGACACGGGUACUUACAUCUGUAAAGUUUCUGUAGAGAUCCCAUCUCUUAUUGAAUCCGAGGGGAAUGGGACACGGAUAACAGUUACGUCCCAAAACACAACAAACAAUGAUUCCUCAGAAGAAAAACUGCUCCAGCAGCUGCCUAUCAUGAUUCCACUUGCUGUCCUGCCAUUGUUCCUCCUCCCUCUCAUCUGCCUGUACAGGGCAUGGAAAAGACACCAAGGUGGUGCCCCAGACAGAACAGUCAGGGUGAUCCACGAGGCUCCCAACCAUGAGGACGAGGAGUUGAAGAUGGAGGAGCUGGAAGAGGCGGCCAACCAGAGCUCUUCCUCCUCCUCCAGAGGAUCCACCCAAUGGUGUCAAGUCCAGGUGUAUGAAUCACUUGAUUACUUGGCAUUACCAACCCAAGACAAAGGUUAAGGACCGGCUGUGAAUGUAUGUUUCUAUUGCGUUUCAUGUGUCAGUCAUUUCUGUAGGUAUUUUACAGUAUGUAUGUACAGUGUAUUUUUGAUGUGUGUGUUUUUUUUAUUUGAUUGCAGUAGGUAAUUACUGCUAUUGUUUCUUCUUUAAACCAUUUUUACUGUGUGGAAUGUACUUUAUUCUCCAGUGAGGAAGUGAAAGAGAGACUCGUGUAAAUUUAGGUUGUGCAAUGAGGUACUUUUACAAAGAUCUGUGAAUAGUUACUCUUUAUUUAACUCUGGUUUGUAUCUUAGACCUAUGCGAAAGCCAGUGUUUACAUGAAAAGUGUGUGUGCGCACGUGUGCAUGUGAAUGUGUCCAUGUGCCUGACAAGAGAAGCGAGUAAAAGAGAAAAUUAUGCUACACAAGA